GACGAACGCUGGCGGCGCGCCUAACACAUGCAAGUCGAACGGGAUCUUUUAGAGAGCUUGCUCUCUGGCUGAUCUAGUGGCGGACGGGUGAGUAACACGUGAGCAACCUGCCCUGGAGUGGGGGAUAACGCCUGGAAACGGACGCUAAUACCGCAGAACAUCAUUGAGCGGCAUCGCUUGGCGAUCAAAGGAGAAAUCCGCUUUGGGAUGGGCUCGCGCCCGAUUAGGUAGUUGGUGGGGUAAAGGCCUACCAAGCCAACGAUCGGUAGCCAGACUGAGAGGUUGAACGGCCACAUUGGGACUGAGACACGGCCCAGACUCCUACGGGAGGCAGCAGUGGGGGAUAUUGCACAAUGGGGGAAACCCUGAUGCAGCGACGCCGCGUGGGUGAAGACGGCCUUCGGGUUGUAAAGCCCUGUUGACGGGGACGAUAAUGACGGUACCCGUUCAGAAAGCCACGGCUAACUACGUGCCAGCAGCCGCGGUAAGAC
RNAcentral lists this ribosomal RNA (491 nucleotides) under uncultured bacterium. RNAcentral's name for it is "bacterial SSU rRNA". It matches the Rfam family "Bacterial small subunit ribosomal RNA", at positions 28 to 526 of the family's 1533-position model. The record is from RNAcentral.